Molecule: ribosomal RNA, 789 nt
Filed under: uncultured bacterium
Lineage: Bacteria
Description: bacterial SSU rRNA
Rfam family: Bacterial small subunit ribosomal RNA
Source: RNAcentral
AGAGUUUGAUCAUGGCUCAGAUUGAACGCUGGCGGAAUGCUUUACACAUGCAAGUCGAGCGGCAGCGCGGGGCAACCUGGCGGCGAGCGGCGAACGGGUGAGUAACACAUCGGAACGUAUCCAGUCGUGGGGGAUAGCCCGGCGAAAGCCGGAUUAAUACCGCAUACGACCUGAGGGUGAAAGUGGGGGAUCGCAAGACCUCACGCGAAUGGAGCGGCCGAUGUCCGAUUAGCUAGUUGGUGAGGUAAAGGCUCACCAAGGCGACGAUCGGUAGCUGGUCUGAGAGGAUGAUCAGCCACACUGGGACUGAGACACGGCCCAGACUCCUACGGGAGGCAGCAGUGGGGAAUUUUGGACAAUGGGGGAAACCCUGAUCCAGCCAUUCCGCGUGAGUGAAGAAGGCCUUCGGGUUGUAAAGCUCUUUCGGCAGGAACGAAACGGUUACGGCGAAUACCCGUGACCACUGACGGUACCUGAAGAAGAAGCACCGGCUAACUACGUGCCAGCAGCCGCGGUAAUACGUAGGGUGCGAGCGUUAAUCGGAAUUACUGGGCGUAAAGCGUGCGCAGGCGGUUAUGCAAGCCAGACGUGAAAGCCCCGGGCUUAACCUGGGAAUAGCGUUUGGGACUGCAUGGCUAGAGUACGUCAGAGGGGGGUGGAAUUCCACGUAGCAGUGAAAUGCGUAGAGAUGUGGAGGAACACCGAUGGCGAAGGCAGCCCCCUGGGAUGAUACUGACGCUCAGGCACGAAAGCGUGGGGAGCAAACAGGAUUAGAUACCCUAGUAGUCC